Molecule: long non-coding RNA, 1051 nt
Filed under: Triticum turgidum subsp. durum (durum wheat)
Lineage: Eukaryota; Viridiplantae; Streptophyta; Magnoliopsida; Poales; Poaceae
Description: inhibitor of WAX1
Source: RNAcentral
AUCAGAGGUCCGCCUUACAACAAAGCAGAGAAAGGUGUCCGCUAUCCUCACGCUGCUUUGGAGGCCGUAGGCCGUGUCCAGGUGGUUCGGGCGGCAGGGCAUCAUCAGAGGUCCGCCACACAAAUUCCUUGUUGGGUACCCGACGGUGUGCCGGAAGAUGCUCGUCGCCGAGAGAGCCAAGGAUCUGGGCACCAGCUCGGUCCCGCGACUGCAUGGUCAGUACGUAGUUCAGUGUCUCUACCUUCGUACUGGACCAUUACGGUCUAUGAGUGUGUGUAUUAUAUAUUUAUAUAUACGAAUAUGAUCCCAUGUCUGCACAAUCAGGUAGGUCACCAUACCCUCAUUAGGCCAGUUCUAAAGGGAGAGUGCGUUCUGCCGGACUCGUACCCUCAUUAGGCCAGUUCCCUCACCACGAGUCCAGGGGGCUCAUCGUGUCCAUGGAAGCACCAGAAUAUCCCAUGCAUGGCGACGUCCUACGACAACACAUGGGCCCAAAUGUGGGCUCUGUCCUUGUACUAUCCUUGUGAGACCAGUUGUGCCGGUUAGUGUGCAGCAUGUGCAAGUCGGGUGUGUUGGCGACAACCUCGGGCUCGGAGGGUGAGGACCAUCACUUCCACCUGUAUGCCCCCUUCAUACAUGCGACCAGCAAGAAGCCUAUGUAGAGCAUCCUGCGGUUCAUAAACCAUUGCGUCAUGUUGCCGCCGGACAAGGUGAUAUCAGAGGACUCGACCGAACCUAUGCUCGGCAUGCCAAUAUUUUCUUGAAAGGCAUACUAGGCACGCAGAGCACAGGUUCGGCCAAGCCCUCUAGGAUCACCAUGCCCUGUGACAGCAAGGUGGCGUGAUAAUUUAUGAACUGCACGAUGCUUUUCAGAAGCUUCUUGCUGGUUGCAUGUAGACGGGCAUAGGUGGAAGCCAUGCCCUUAACCCUCGGAUUUAACCAUGGUGAGCCUGUCGUCAACACACCCGCACUUGCGCAUGGUGCACAUAUACUGGCGCCCCCGGUAUCAUAAGGUGUCCUCUGCAACUACCACCACACCUGCUUACCGUCA